Molecule: transfer RNA, 87 nt
Filed under: Deltaproteobacteria bacterium
Lineage: Bacteria; Pseudomonadati; Myxococcota; Myxococcia
Description: tRNA-OTHER
Source: RNAcentral
GGGAGCGUUGACGGUAGAGCUGACCGAGGCUGCCUGUAAAGCAGUCGUCCGACGACCAACUGGGUGCGAGUCCCAGCGUUCCCACCA